UACGUAGGGUGCAAGCGUUGCUCGGAAUCAUUGGGCGUAAAGAGCGUGUAGGCGGUUCGGUAAGUCGGCUGUGAAAGUCCAGGGCUCAACCCUGGGAUGCCGGUCGAUACUGCCGGACUAGAGUUCGGAAGAGGCGAGUGGAAUUCCCGGUGUAGCGGUGAAAUGCGCAGAUAUCGGGAGGAACACCAAUGGCGAAGGCAGCUCGCUGGGACGUUACUGACGCUGAGACGCGAAAGCGUGGGGAGCGAACAGG
RNAcentral lists this ribosomal RNA (253 nucleotides) under uncultured bacterium. Its description in RNAcentral is "partial 16S ribosomal RNA". It matches the Rfam family "Bacterial small subunit ribosomal RNA", at positions 524 to 776 of the family's 1533-position model. The record is from RNAcentral.